GAGGUUUUAGUUAAGUUCAUAACGCUGGCCUGUCAGACCGGAAUGACAAGUGAAACCCUUGUAAACUUCG
Molecule: transfer RNA, 70 nt
Filed under: Holothuria scabra
Lineage: Eukaryota; Metazoa; Echinodermata; Holothuroidea; Aspidochirotida; Holothuriidae
Description: tRNA-Asp
Source: RNAcentral